CCAAAUACCUCAUCUAAACUAAUGAGUUAGUAAUCAUUGGCUAUAACGACAGUACGCUACAUCUGAAGAAAACAUUACAUUAGUGUUUAUAGAACACUGAAGAAAGCAAACUGUUCUGGGUCAAUUUGCUGCCUGUAAAUUAGAGAUAAAUAAUUUUUAAAAAGACAAGAUAAUACAUAUAGGUCAAUGGAGUUUUGAACAAACAGACAAAAGUGCUAAACAUGUGGCCAGACCAAACCUGCCUUUAACUUCCUCUUGAUUGUGGUUACAAUCACCCUAUUCAUUUGAAAGCUCUGAGAAAGUUGAAAGUGUCAUCUCUACAGCCAUGGAAAAGAAACAAGACUGCAUCUUCCUGAAGUGUUUUAAUUUGCAGCUUUACCUCUGUGAGUUUAUUGUACUUUGAAUAUUUUAUUGUUCUUGUUUAUGUUUAAUGACACAAUAACAAUCUAUAGUGUGUGUGUGUGUGUAUGUGUGUGUGUGUGUGUGUGUGUGUGUGUUUGUGUGUGUGUGUUGUUUAUUUCACAGAUCUGUUCAUGUGGUGUCAAGCAGCAGAUACUUUAACAGAUCAACUAACAGAUUUGGGUCAGAAUGUGACUAUAAACUGUGAUUUGGUACAGGAGGUUAACUGGUUAUUACUGAAACUACCAGAUCCUCCAGUUCUGAUAUUACGCAGUUUCUCAUCUGCAGCUCCUCAUUACUACAAUAAUAGAUUUAGACACAAAUAUUCAGUGCGAAGUAAACAUCACCUGUUCAUAAACAAUGUCACUAUUGAUGAUUUAGGACUUUAUUACUGUGUGACCACAGACGCACCUCCAAAAUACAGCGACGGCACCAGACUACACAUCAUUGAACUGACGGAAGAGAUCCAGAAUCAUACAGUGGUGAAGUACAUCGAGAAGAAUCAGACACAUUGGCAGACCAUCUUCAUAUCUGCUUUCAUAAAUGGUCUUCUGAUCAUUGUGAUCAUAGGACUAUUAAAGGUGUUUGUUCAUGCAAGAAACAGAGAUGACUUGAAACAAUUUCAAGAUACAAACCUAAAGAAUCUUCAAGAUAUGGAUUUUGAACAACCUCAAGACUCAACACAAACACUGAUAUAUUACAUGAAAAUAUAAAGAACAUAAUAUGUCUCAAUGUUUAAGUGUGUGUUUAUAUGCUGUUUAGGGGCAAGUAAAUAUAAAAUACAUAAUACCUAAUUAUGCAUGUGAGAUUACUAAUUUGUUUUAGAAUCAAUAUGGCCAGAAAUAAUGAUAUUUUCAUGUCUUCUGCUGGCCUUGUUUUAUGCUUUUGUAAUUUGUUUAUUUCUGUUUUAAGUUUCAGUCUAAACAAAAAUAAAUAAAUAAAUAAAUAAAUAAAAUAAGCCACAGCGCAAAAGAAAUAUAGACAGAGACAGAUUUAGGACAUACACAGGGCCUUGUGUUUUUAAAGCACAUACGAUGAAGGUUCACACACCACAAAAUACAAACUGAUUUUAAUUUCAACAUGUAUUGCCUAUGUACGGAGCCCCGAACAUGACAUGCAGUUAUGUAUGGUAGAUGGAGAAAGACAAAUUCUUUGCAAUCUUGCACUGAGAAAUGUGAUUUUUGAAUUGUUUGACAAUUCCCUCAUGACAUUUGGCACAAAGUUGUGAGUCAUGAUCCAUCUUUUCUUGCAAAGUGUGAGAAGCUCUUUUAGACCUAAACACGAUACCCUCACCUAUUACCAAUUCACCUGCUAACUGUGGACUGUUUAAAAACAGUUUAACUUGGAUAUUAUACAAUCUUUUCACUUAUUUGGCUUCUGUCCCAACUUUUUUAGAGUGUGUUGCAGCCAUCAAAAUUAAAAUUUGUUUAUAUUCACAAAAUACAAUUAUGUUGAUCAGUGAAAACAUUGGAAAUCUUUUCUUUGUGCUUUUGUCAGUUAAAAAAAAAAAGGUUAAAGAGAAUUAACAAAUCACAGAUUGUGGUUUUUAUCACAUUUUACAAAAUGUCCCCGUGAUGGCUAAAGCCACACUUAUCCAAUAAUAGAUUACUUUAUUUCAAUGGUUCUAGCUUUCUUAUUUUAUGUUUUUUUUUUUUUUUUUUUUUUUUUUAAGUAAUUUAUUCGUUUUGUUUGAUGGAUUAAUUGUUUUUCUGCUUGUUUAUACAUUUUUAUGCAUUUAUUUUGUUUCUUUAAUAUUAUUUACCCAAACCAUUUUGUUAAAGGUGCAUGCUCUUUAUGUGCGCAUAUAAUAUCAAAGAGCGAUAAUUCGUUGCUAGAGUGCACGCUAGUGAUUGAAUAAAACCAAGACAAAGAUAUGGCUUUAAUAUUGUUUCUUUAUUUAAUUGUUUUGGUUAAUUGUGUCUUACCCGUGGUUCCGCCUGGAUCUGUGACUGCAGCAUGGAACAAAGACCUGUUAUUAAAAAGAGUGUGGCAUUUCCUCAUGUCCUUUAUAUAUCCUUUGCUGGGUAUUAUGGGAAAUGUAUUUUUUCGUUCACCAUAUGGGUUUGGAAUUGUUUGUUUAUUUAAAUGUAUUUUUGUAAAGUUUAUUUUUGUGUUUAUUUUCAUCAUUGCUUUAUGGUGAAUGUAAUUUCAGGGUAAUGAGUUUAUUUGUAUAUAUUAUGCUUUUUCGAAGUUUGAUUUACUGAGUGGAGACCCCCUGUAAUUAUAAAAUGGUUUAGACUGUUUUGUUAAAAGGGUUAAAUUUUCUGUGGCUGAGUUAGUUCUGGUGAGGGAUCCCUUGAGAAACAUCUGAGGCACAGAACUCAGUCUGUUGAGUUGUAAUUUAUUUAGUUUUUUUUUUUUCCUUUUCCUAUUUCUUCUUGCACCUGUGUGACUAGUACAUGAGUGUGGCAAUUAAUAAAAUGGAAAAAGUGAAGCUUCUAUGAGUGCCUCAUGAACAUUUUAUGGAAGAACCCUCACAGUCCCAACUCUUCUGGAAUUGGGGUUGUAUUUUAACUUUUCAUUUAUUUUACUACAUUGUAAAUAUUUUCUACGCAUAGGCUUAUCAGUAAACUUACAUUUCUUAAGUGGCCUUCUUUUCCCAUCUUAUAGUAUAUGAAACUGAACAAACAUUAAUCUUUUUUGAAUCUCUUAAAGGCACAGGAUCAGCGGGGGGUGGGGAACAGCCUGUUUAAUUCCAAAGGUCAUAAAUAUGGUGGAUAAGGUCAUUAAAAAAAAGUUUAAAGUUUAAAAAGUGAACAAGAAAACAACUUGAAAUUAUAAGUAGACACCAUAUGAUAUGACACCUUUCAUUAGUUGA
Ctenopharyngodon idella (grass carp) is the source of this 3217-nucleotide long non-coding RNA. RefSeq lists it as uncharacterized. The transcript is spliced from 3 exons. The record is from RefSeq and is a predicted model, not a curated record. NCBI's taxonomy places the organism in Eukaryota, Metazoa, Chordata, Actinopteri, Cypriniformes, Xenocyprididae.